Molecule: ribosomal RNA, 659 nt
Filed under: Bifidobacterium longum subsp. longum
Lineage: Bacteria; Bacillati; Actinomycetota; Actinomycetes; Bifidobacteriales; Bifidobacteriaceae
Description: bacterial LSU rRNA
Rfam family: Bacterial large subunit ribosomal RNA
Source: RNAcentral
GUGCGCCUACAAUCCGUCGGAGCCCUUUUGUGGGGUGACGGCGUGCCUAUCGAAAAAUGAGUCUGCGAGUCAGUGGCAUGUGGCGAGCAUAACCCGUGUGGGGUAUGCGUAGCGAAGGCGAGUCUUAAAAGGCGUUUGAGUCGCGUGUCCUGGACCCGAAGCGGGAUGAUCUAGCCCUGAGCAGGUUGAAGCGCGGGUAAGACCGCGUGGAGGACCGAACCCACCUGGGUUGAAAACCGGGGGGAUGACUUGGGGCUAGGGGUGAAAGGCCAAUCAAAUUCCGUGAUAGCUGGUUCUCUCCGAAAUGCAUUUGGGUGCAGCGUCGGGUCAUUACGUCCCGGGGGUAGAGCUACUGGAUGCUUGCGGGCCCGUAUCGGGUACCAACAGCAACCAAACUCCGAAUACCGGUGACGCGUAUCCCGGCAGUGAGUCGGCGGGGGAUAAGCUUCGUCGUCGAAAGGGAAACAGCCCAGACCGUCGUCUAAGGUCCCGAAGCGUGUGCUAAGUGGGAAAGGAUGUGGAGUCGCAUAGACAGCCAGGAGGUUGGCUCAGAAGCAGCCACCCUUGAAAGAGUGCGUAACAGCUCACUGGUCUAGUGGUUCCGCGCCGACAAUGUAGCGGGGCUCAAGCACACCACCGAAGACGCGGCAGUAUUUUGU